CCGUCCGUGCUUCAGGGCUCAGCGUCCCGAUCUCGCCCGCUCCCAGCGGCCGGGAGCAGCGAGAUAACAGAUGCGUGAGGAAACGAGAUGAACACAACGACCUCACAGGACGGCGGGGACACCAGGCGUGCACCGCGCUGCUCCUGGCACCAUCCCGCCCAGUCAGUCCCAAAUGAGAGCAUCGCGGCAAAAGGGAAGAUUCGGCAGCGGAGAGGCACCAAAGCGGGAACAGGCAGGACACAGCGGGGAUGGAGCCGCGGAGUGACAUUGGAGGCUCUGUUCAACCAGACCAUGCCCAGCACUCAUUGCAAACGAGGAGGGGCUGGGGCUCUGGGACCAGAAGCAAGAGAUGUGCUGCACUCCUCCACAUGCUGUCCCAGCCCUGGCCCCUCAGGCAGCACAGGGAAACCUCCCAGUGGUGCUGAAAGGAAGGAACCAGUCUGGAUCUGCAAACCCAGUCUGGACUUGGAGAUGAUCAAACACUGGAACAACUUGACACGAGAGGCUGUGGAGGCUCCAUCCUUGAGAUAUUAUGGCCUUUAUAAUAUAAAGAGAAUCUACAAGAAUGAAUAUUCUCUCUGCUGCACAGCAAGAAACAGUGCUGGCAUCAAAACCAUCUCAGUGCUGGAGUGAAAGAGGAGCUGAUGUCUCAGCAGCAACAGGAGAACAACACCCAUCUAUCUCCAAGAUUUUUGCCAGCUUGGAAAAACUGGAGGCUGGAAACAUGGCCAGAAUCAUCUAGGGUAAUCUCAGGCAAAGUACAGAACAAAUUAAUUAAUAACCUAUUUCUGGAACCUUUGGAAUGAUGGAUCUGUGGCUGAUUAAUUGUGGUGGUGUGUUCCCCAGGGACUGAUCAUGUCAGCUGUACUGCUUUCCAUGGAGGGAGUUCAGUCACUGGCUUGGGAAAGUGUUGGUAGAGAAGUUCUAUGAUGAAAGGGAAUUUGAGCUUUUAAGAUACUUGGAUCAUUAAGAAAGAGUUAUUAUGUGUAGCAUUGAUUCAUCAACUUGUGCUUUUAAGUUAACUAGCUCUGUUUGGCAAUCUCUCCUUUUUCUGGACUGCAAGCAGUAAUCAAUCAAAAGCCAGCUCUGAAGUGACUGGAGAAGUACCAGCAGCAAACUGUGCCCUUGGCAGGGAGCUGGGUGUUCACUGGAACCUGCAAGGAGCUCUAAAGAAACUUCCCAUCUUACACUGCUGAAUCACCAGCCUGGGGUUGUUCUGGGAGAGGCAAGAAGAGUGGAGAGAACAUUACCUGUCAGACAGCUGUCAAGCACUGGAGAGAAAGGAAUUCCUUUGUUGGGACUGUUCUGGAAAAAGGCCAAGGUGCUCACCAAUUAUUGGACAAGUCUUCCCAUGAAUUGCAAAUCCAAAAGCCAGAGAACUGCAAGGUCCCAGUAUAAACUCCAGUUAUUUCCCAAGCACUCACCAGAGUUAAACUUUCCAUGCAGUUUCUCCACAGUCUCCUUGGUCAAGCUGUAAAUCAGGGGUAAAAUUGACUCAAUGACUCUUAGACAAAUGAAUGGAAGCAUCACAGCUAUUCCACAUGACUGCAGUUCUCCAGGGCCUGGAGCUGAGUUCCAGAGCUCUGUUCCUACCUGGCAGUGUGUUUCCAUGAGCACUCAAAGCUGCACUCACACAUCAUUUACAUAUCAAGGCAGAAAAUAUUUUCAUUUUUGAAAGAAAAAUACCAGAACUAGCACCACCCAAAGGUCUCACAGGAAAACUUCCUGGAAUUCCUUAUGCAUGGAAAAGAGCCUCAGCAAUUAACAUUUGCUGAUUCCUUCUUAAGGCUGGGAAAAGAGAACAUUAAAUGGAGGAAAAUGUUAGUUUGUCUGAAAACAAAAGCAAAACUUGUUCUAAAGCCAGAACUGAGCUGGAAUUUCUUUCUAGUGUUUGCAAAGGAUAAUAAAAUGAAGCACCAGGAAAAUAUCACAUCUCACAAUGAUGAAUGUUAUUACAUCAGACUUUCAAAAUACAGCUUGAUGAAUAUGUGCAGUAAAUACAGAAAUAAACACAGGAAAAAAUUCAGAAGUCAUUUGACUUUAAGUAGUACAAUUCUAAAAACUAUUUGUGUUGUGCAUCAACUCUUCUGCAGGGUUUUUCCAGCCAAAGUACUUCACAAACUUGGACCAGCUCUUCAUCCUUUGAAUUAUUUGGGGAAAUAUUUCCCUUUGAAUGUGGGAGAUAACUGAGCCAUGGAAAUGAGCAGAGGUGAAGGAGUGAUCCAGUGGCACAGGUAGGGAAAGCCUCCUCUCCUUGCCUCUCAGGAUGAAGGUGCUUUGGCAUCAGACAGCAGCACAGCAGCUGGGAGCCAGUGCUUGGAUCUGCUGCAGGCACCAGCAGCCACUGACCAACCUGGUAAACCAAUUUUGCCUUAGAAAAAGGCAAAGCUU
Long non-coding RNA from Passer montanus (Eurasian tree sparrow), 2391 nucleotides. RefSeq lists it as uncharacterized. The transcript has 3 exons. The record is from RefSeq and is a predicted model, not a curated record. NCBI's taxonomy places the organism in Eukaryota, Metazoa, Chordata, Aves, Passeriformes, Passeridae.